Ctenopharyngodon idella (grass carp) is the source of this 1050-nucleotide long non-coding RNA. RefSeq lists it as uncharacterized. The transcript is spliced from 3 exons. The record is from RefSeq and is a predicted model, not a curated record. NCBI's taxonomy places the organism in Eukaryota, Metazoa, Chordata, Actinopteri, Cypriniformes, Xenocyprididae.
CUCAAGUAAAUUGAUCUGGUUUGAAGGGUUUUUAGAUAUUUUAACUAGAAAACUAGACAAAAAUACUAGUUUUUGCAGUAUGAAUGCAAUGUUUAUCGCGGUGCAUUCUGGGAUUGCCUUAUAUGCAAAAUAUUUGUGUGAUGUUGCCUUAAAAUUUGGCUUCUUACAAGGCAGCACAAUGCUGGUUAUUGGGUAAAUGCUGAUAAUGUCUUAAAAAAGCAAAUAAGUGCAACAUUAGCCACUCCAAGGUCAUGUGUUUGAUUCCUAGAGAAUGCAUGAAGUGAUUCAAAAGCGAUCUGAGUGAAACCGGCCCGGAUGGAUGCGUUACGUGAGCCAGCCAUCUCGCAAGGUUUUGCGGCAGUUCGCUCGGGGACCCACGAAAGCGUACGGGGGUUAAAGGUCAUUUGCGACGAGAGCUUUGCGGAGCCUCUGGAGAAACUUGCCCUGUCUGAAGGGGGUCACAUCGAGUACCCAGAUGACAAAGCAGGUGAGGAGAGACAGAGAUCUGAGAAGACGCUGAGCGGUGCAGAAGACGAGGAGAGAGUAGAUGGCGUCUCGGUGAUGAGUUUCUUCCUCCCAUAUCGCCCAGCCCACAGCGCUCGAGUGUCUCUGUUGUGCUACGCCACGAUCUGCUCUCUUUGUAGAGAUGUAUCGCUAUUCCAGACGAAUCUGCGGUGGGGUCACAAACAGGUGGAGGUAGCAGUGGAUGCGGCCGAAGGCCAAAUGGUAAAACCUGACAUGUGUUGGCAUCUGGUGCGAGAGCAGAGGUUGAGUGUGUUGUGUCGCUCUGUGUGUCAUAUGGAGAGAGACGGAGCGCUCAGGACGGACACUCACAAACAUCUGGACAAUGGGUCAGAGAGAGAGAGACGUGAAGCACCAUUCACUCAUGCAGAGGUGUCAGUGAGACCAUCAUGGGCAUUUAUACUGCUGGAUGCACUUUAUUAGUGGGCUUAACAAACCAUUUUUAAUAAUAAAAUUAGUAAUAAUAAUAAUAAUAAUACUUGUUUUUUUUUUGUUUUACGGUAUGAUAAAUACUAAUAUAUUUAUUGA